CCUACGGGUGGCAGCAGUGGGGAAUAUUGCACAAUGGGGGAAACCCUGAUGCAGCGACGCCGCGUGAAGGAAGACGUAUCUCGGUAUGUAAACUUCUAUCAGCAGGGAAGAAAAUGACGUUACCUGACUAAGAAUCCCCGGCUCACUACGUGACAGCAGCCGCGGUAAUACGUCGGGUGCAAGCGUUAUCCGGAUUUACUGGGGGUAAAGGGAGCGUAGGCGGUUCAGCAAGUCAGAAGUGAAAGCCCCGGGCUCAACCCCGGCACCGCGUUUGAAACUGUUGAACUAGAUUGCAGGAGAGGUAAGUGGAAUGCGUGGUGUAGCGGUGAAAUGCGUAGAUAUGAGGAAGAACACCGGUGGCGAAGGCAGCAUACCGGCGCGCAACUGACGCUGAUGCACGAAAGCGUGGGUAUCGAACAGGAUUAGAUACCCCUGUAGUC
This 440-nucleotide ribosomal RNA is filed under the name uncultured bacterium. RNAcentral describes it as "partial 16S ribosomal RNA". It matches the Rfam family "Bacterial small subunit ribosomal RNA", at positions 338 to 795 of the family's 1533-position model. The record is from RNAcentral.